UAAUUUAAGGUCUAGCCUGCCCACUGAAUUUUUAAAUGGCCGUGGUAUUUUGACCGUGCUAAGGUAGCAUAAUCAUUAGUUUUUUAAUUAAAAACUGGAAUGAAAGGUCGGAUAAGAAAAUAGCUGUCUCUAUUAAAUUUAAUUAGAAUUUUAUUUUUAAGUUAAAAAGCUUAAGUGCUAUUAAAAGACGAGAAGACCCUAUAGAGUUUAAUUAUUUAAUAAAAAUUAUAUUUUAGUAUUUAUUUAUUUAUUUUAUUAAAUAAUUUAAUUGGGGUGAUUGAAAAAUUUAAUUAACUUUUUUUUAUUUAAAAACAUAAAUUUAUGAGCAUAUGAUCCAAUAUUUUUGAUUAUAAGAUAAAAUUACCUUAGGGAUAACAGCGUAAUUUUUUUAGAAAGUUCAUAUUAAAAAAAAAGAUUGCGACCUCGAUGUUGGAUUAAAAUAAAUUUUCGGUGUAGAAGCUGAAAUAUUAGGUCUGUUCGACCUUUAAAAUUUUA
This 495-nucleotide ribosomal RNA is filed under the name Oreina coerulea. RNAcentral's name for it is "partial 16S large subunit ribosomal RNA". It matches the Rfam family "Bacterial large subunit ribosomal RNA", at positions 1841 to 2598 of the family's 2925-position model. Lineage: Eukaryota; Metazoa; Arthropoda; Insecta; Coleoptera; Chrysomelidae. The record is from RNAcentral.